GCUCAAAUUGAAAUCCUGGCCCCUUUCGGGGGUUCCGAAGUUGUUAAUUUGUAGAAGAGUGUUUUCGGGGUGAGGCCCGGUUUUAAAGUCUGUUUGGAACAUUACGUCAUAAGAGGGGUGAGAACCCCGUAUGCGACCCGUGGCCCCGAGCCCAUGUGAAGCCUCUUUCGACGAGUCGAGUUGUUUGGGAAUGCAGCUCAAAAUGGGUGGUAAAUUUCAUCUAAAGCUAAAUACUGGCUGGAGACCGAUAGCGCACAAGUAGAGUGAUCGAAAGAUGAAAAGCACUUUGGAAAGAGAGUCAAACAGUACGUGAAAUUGUUGAAAGGGAAGCGCUGGCAACCAGACCUGUCCGUAGGCGAUCAGCCGCUGUUCUCAGCGGUGCACUCGUUCUGCGAUCAGGCCAGCAUCGGUUUCGGCGGUCAGAUAAAGGCCCGGGGAACGUGGCUCCCUCUCGGGGGAGUGUUAUAGCCCCGGGCGCAAUGCGGCCAGCCGGGACCGAGGACCGCGCUUCGGCUAGGAUGCUGGCGUAAUGGUUGUCAGCGACCCGUCUUGAAACACGGACCAAGGAGUCUAACAUCUAUGCGAGUGUUUGGGUGUCAAACCCAUGCGCGGAAUGAAAGUGAACGGAGGUGAGAACCCUUUAGGGCGCAUCAUCGACCGAUCCAGAUGUCUUCGGAUGGAUUUGAGUAUGAGCAUAGCUGUUGGGACCCGAAAGGUGUGUAGAAUCCUCCCUGAACUAUGUAGAAUUAUAAGCUAAUGUGCGAUGAACAGAUGGUGAACUAUGCCUGAAUAGGGUGAAGCCAGAGGAAACUCUGGUGGAGGCUCGCAGCGGUUCUGACGUGCAAAUCGAUCGUCAAAUUUGGGUAUAGGGGCGAAAGACUAUCGAACCU
RNAcentral lists this ribosomal RNA (890 nucleotides) under Hypotrachyna physcioides. Its description in RNAcentral is "eukaryotic LSU rRNA". It matches the Rfam family "Eukaryotic large subunit ribosomal RNA", at positions 107 to 942 of the family's 3401-position model. Lineage: Eukaryota; Fungi; Ascomycota; Lecanoromycetes; Lecanorales; Parmeliaceae. The record is from RNAcentral.